UAUCACCUACGGGAGGCAGCAGUGGGGAAUAUUGCACAAUGGGGGAAACCCUGAUGCAGCAACGCCGCGUGAGUGAAGAAGUAUUUCGGUAUGUAAAGCUCUAUCAGCAGGGAAGAAAAUGACGGUACCUGAGUAAGAAGCCCCGGCUAACUACGUGCCAGCAGCCGCGGUAAUACGUUGGGGGCAAGCGUUAUCCGGAUUUACUGGGUGUAAAGGGAGCGUAGACGGCAGCGCAAGUCUGGAGUGAAAUGCCGGGGCUCAACCCCGGAACUGCUUUGGAAACUGUGCAGCUAGAGUGCGGGAGG
This 305-nucleotide ribosomal RNA is filed under the name uncultured bacterium. RNAcentral's name for it is "bacterial SSU rRNA". It matches the Rfam family "Bacterial small subunit ribosomal RNA", at positions 333 to 655 of the family's 1533-position model. The record is from RNAcentral.